RNAcentral lists this ribosomal RNA (301 nucleotides) under uncultured bacterium. RNAcentral's name for it is "partial 16S ribosomal RNA". It matches the Rfam family "Bacterial small subunit ribosomal RNA", at positions 509 to 807 of the family's 1533-position model. The record is from RNAcentral.
CAGUCGCCGCGGUAAUAUAGAGGGUGCAAGCGUUAAUCGGAAUUACUGGGCGUAAAGCGCGCGUAGGUGGUUCGCCAAGUUGGAUGUGAAAUCCCCGGGCUCAACCUGGGAACUGCAUCCAAAACUGGCGAGCUAGAGUAUGGUAGAGGGUGGUGGAAUUUCCUGUGUAGCGGUGAAAUGCGUAGAUAUAGGAAGGAACAUCAGUGGCGAAGGCGACCACCUGGACUGAUACUGACACUGAGGUGCGAAAGCGUGGGGAGCAAACAGGAUUAGAUACCCGGGUAGUCCCUGUCUCUUAUAC